CCUACGGGGGGCAGCAGUAGGAAAUCUUCCACAAUGGACGCAAGUCUGAUGGAGCAACGCCGCGUGAGCGAAGAAGGUUUUCGGAUCGUAAAGCUCUGUUGUUGGUGAAGAAGGAUAGAGGUAGUAACUGGCCUUUAUUUGACGGUAAUCAACCAGAAAGUCACGGCUAACUACGUGCCAGCAGCCGCGGUAAUACGUAGGUGGCAAGCGUUGUCCGGAUUUAUUGGGCGUAAAGCGAGCGCAGGCGGAAGAAUAAGUCUGAUGUGAAAGCCCUCGGCUUAACCGAGGAACUGCAUCGGAAACUGUUUUUCUUGAGUGCAGAAGAGGAGAGUGGAACUCCAUGUGUAGCGGUGGAAUGCGUAGAUAUAUGGAAGAACACCAGUGGCGAAGGCGGCUCUCUGGUCUGCAACUGACGCUGAGGCUCGAAAGCAUGGGUAGCGAACAGGAUUAGAUACCCGAGUAGUC
This 465-nucleotide ribosomal RNA is filed under the name uncultured Lactobacillus sp. RNAcentral describes it as "bacterial SSU rRNA". It matches the Rfam family "Bacterial small subunit ribosomal RNA", at positions 338 to 795 of the family's 1533-position model. Lineage: Bacteria; Bacillati; Bacillota; Bacilli; Lactobacillales; Lactobacillaceae. The record is from RNAcentral.